RNAcentral lists this ribosomal RNA (1336 nucleotides) under marine metagenome. Its description in RNAcentral is "bacterial LSU rRNA". It matches the Rfam family "Bacterial large subunit ribosomal RNA", at positions 816 to 2262 of the family's 2925-position model. The record is from RNAcentral.
UAGGGGUGAAAGGCCAAUCAAACUCGGAUAUAGCUGGUUCUCCGCGAAAUCUAUUUAGGUAGAGCGUUGUGUAUUACCGCCGGGGGUAGAGCACUGGAUGGGCUAGGGGGGCGCGAGUCUUACCAAACCUAACCAAACUCCGAAUACCGGUGAGUAGAGCACAGCAGACAGACCAUGGGUGCUAAGGUCCAUGGUCGAAAGGGAAACAGCCCAGACCUCCAGCUAAGGUCCCCAAGUUAUGACUAAGUGGGAAAGGAUGUGGGAAGGCCAAGACAACCAGGAGGUUGGCUUAGAAGCAGCCAUCCUUUAAAGAAAGCGUAACAGCUCACUGGUCUAAAUAUUAAGCCGUCCUGCGCCGAAGAUGUAACGGGGCUAAAGUCAUACACCGAAGCUGAGGACUCCAGUUUACUGGAGUGGUAGCGGAGCGUUCCGUAAGCCUGCGAAGGUGCACCGUGAGGUGUGCUGGAGGUAUCGGAAGUGAGAAUGCUGGCAUGAGUAGCGAUAAAGAGUGUGAGAAACACUCUCGCCGAAAGUCCAAGGGUUCCUGCGCAAGGCUAAUCCGCGCAGGGUGAGCCGGCCCCUAAGCCGAGGCCGAAAGGCGUAGGCGAUGGGAACCAGGUUAAUAUUCCUGGGCCUGCUGGAUGUGACGAAGGCCGAAAGUUGUCUUUCCUUAUUGGAUUGGAGAGGCAGCCUGGGACUUCCAGGAAAUAGCACCAGCGAUAGACCGUACCCUAAACCGACACAGGUGGACAGGUAGAGUAUACCAAGGCGCUUGAGAGAACGGUGUUGAAGGAACUAGGCAAAAUACCCCCGUAACUUCGGGAGAAGGGGGACCUCUAUUUGGGCAACCAGAUUGGGGUGGCACAGACCAGGGGGUGGCGACUGUUUACUAAAAACAUAGGUCUCUGCGAAGUCGCAAGACGACGUAUAGGGACUGACGCCUGCCCGGUGCCGGAAGGUUAAGGAGAGGGGUGCAAGCUCUGAACCGAAGCCCCGGUAAACGGCGGCCGUAACUAUAACGGUCCUAAGGUAGCGAAAUUCCUUGUCGGGUAAGUUCCGACCUGCACGAAUGGCGUAACGACUGCCCCGCUGUCUCCAACACCGACUCAGCGAAAUUGAACUCUGAGUUAAGAUGCUCAGUACCCGCGGUCAGACGGAAAGACCCCGUGCACCUUUACUACAGCUUUGCAGUGGUAUUAGUGAAUAAAUGUGUAGGAUAGGCGGGAGGCUUUGAAGCAGCGGCGCCAGUCGUUGUGGAGCCAUCCUUGAAAUACCGCCCUUUUGUUUUCUGAUAUCUAACCGUGGCCCGUUAUCCGGGUCCGGGACCCUGCAUGGU